UUUUAAUUUUUCUGAUUAUUUUCUGCUUGUAAUUAUAUUCUGACCAGUUACAGCAGCAGGAAGCAACCAGCUGUUCUUUUCUCUGGGCUCAUUUCUCCUCAUGACUCCAUCAUGAAACAUUUUCAUCAGAACUUCUCUCCUGUCUCAUGAAGAUUUAUCAACCUGCCUCUGAUUUCACUGCAGAACUUCUACUUCCUGGUUCUGCUGCUCUGAAAGAAGAAACUACAAACCAGGUGUGGCAUUAGUCUGGUUCUCCUGCGGUUCUGUUGGGUCUCAGUCUGUUGUUCAGAUGUUCGUCUUCAACUCUUUGGACAGUUUGAACAAACUGAAUCAAACUCCAGUCUCAACCAUUAAUGUCAAACAAAAGAGUUUCGUUUCUGCUUUGUUUCAAAUUGAAAUAUUAUUCUUAAAAUGUCUUUGAUUCAGUCAGAUUUUGAUGGAGCAGAUAAUCCACUUGUUCAGGUCACACUUGUUGUAGAGAUUAAUAAUUAACUAACUAAAAUACUUCCUGUUGUUCAGGUUGAAUCAGUGAAUGUAAAUGUUGCUCCAUGUCUCCAUCUAGUGGACUGAUA
This is a long non-coding RNA of Xiphophorus hellerii (green swordtail), 572 nucleotides long. RefSeq lists it as uncharacterized. The record is from RefSeq and is a predicted model, not a curated record. Lineage: Eukaryota; Metazoa; Chordata; Actinopteri; Cyprinodontiformes; Poeciliidae. The transcript is spliced from 3 exons.